UCCCCGUUUGAGCGAGGCAGUCUGUCCAGAGUGCUCCCUACUCUCGUAGGGGUGGCAACAGGACGCAAGGGUUGCGCUCGUUGCGGGACUUAACCCAACAUCUCACGACACGAGCUGACGACAGCCAUGCAGCACCUGUGUUCGCGUUCCCUUUCGGGCACACCCGCCUCUCGGCAGGCUUCGCGACAUGUCAAGGGUAGGUAAGGUUGUUCGCGUUGCAUCGAAUUAAUCCACAUCAUCCACCGCUUGUGCGGGUCCCCGUCAAUUCCUUUGAGUUUUAACCUUGCGGCCGUACUCCCCAGGCGGCUCACUUCACGCGUUAGCUACGGUACCAAGGAAUCGCUUCCCCAACACCUAGUGAGCAUCGUUUAGGGCGUGGACUAC
RNAcentral lists this unclassified non-coding RNA (384 nucleotides) under uncultured Gammaproteobacteria bacterium. RNAcentral describes it as "contains 16S-23S intergenic spacer region". The record is from RNAcentral. Lineage: Bacteria; Pseudomonadati; Pseudomonadota; Gammaproteobacteria.